Molecule: long non-coding RNA, 960 nt
Organism: Wasmannia auropunctata (little fire ant)
Lineage: Eukaryota; Metazoa; Arthropoda; Insecta; Hymenoptera; Formicidae
Exons: 2
Source: RefSeq, a predicted model, not a curated record
AUAACGUACGUCGUACACCUGACGAGAAGUUAUCAGACUUUAUAGACAUACUGAUGGAACUAGGCUGCCUUUUACGAUAAAGUUUGACCGGGUCUUUAGAGCUAGAGAAACCCGGCGAUAACCGGCGAGUAACAUGAUAGAUAAGAGAAGUCACGAGAGGUCAUGAGAGAAAGUCGAGGAGUGACGGACGCGGAUACCGAUGAUCGAAUACGAUUCUGCACAGCCCAUGAUUUUCCUCGGCGAUACGCUCAUUAAUUAAAGCAGGGAUAAAGUGAUUAAACCCACGGACAAUGGGAACGGACGAGUGCUGAACUGAAAAUUGCAUUAAUGUCGCUGACAAGUCCUUGGAAGUUUCGCGAAAACGGCGCGAGAGGAUCGAUACGCGGGCGGAUCGAUGUGGACGCCCGUUUGGAAAGGUCAGAAAAUUAGAGCGAAACGCGCGCGGGAAAUCGGAUUGUCACCGGCAACUUGUGGUGAAAUACCGUCGCAGGCCAUGCGAGUGUGUCACUCACCCCGAGAAUGAGCGUUUAAUAAUUUAUUUUGCACCGCAGCAGGUGAGAUCGAUAUGCGCACUGCUCCCCGCACGACAGACAUCUAAUUAUAUUUGCAUAACAGCAUACGACGUAUGUUCAAACCUAGGAGCGUCGACCGUCUGACUAAUGUAAACCGAGUAUCGACUAUUUUACAUUUAACGUUUCACAAGUCGCCCGAGUGCCGAGUUGAAGUCUCGUGAAGUCUUUAGUCUCAGAAAAAACGCGGCUAGAUCGAAAGAAAAUUUUAUCACCUGAUCUAGGUAAAGAAAGUGAUACAAUGUGCAAUUUCGUUGUUUUAUUUAGCACUGUAUUAUAAAACUUAUCUUACUUGAUCAUAGAUACAAUCUUAUAUAUUUUGUCUUGUAUAUUUCAUACAUUGUUACCGUCGCAGUGCUGAUGAUAUAGUAUAUAAUAAUACACAAAGCUA